UAGAGUAUAGCUAAAAAGUAAAGCUUCUCACUUACACCGAGACAACGCUUGUGCAAAUCAAGCUACCCUAA
This 71-nucleotide transfer RNA is filed under the name Entelurus aequoreus (snake pipefish). RNAcentral describes it as "tRNA-Val". It matches the Rfam family "tRNA". Rfam says of the family: Transfer RNA (tRNA) molecules are approximately 80 nucleotides in length. Their secondary structure includes four short double-helical elements and three loops (D, anti-codon, and T loops). Further hydrogen bonds mediate the characteristic L-shaped molecular structure. tRNAs have two regions of fundamental functional importance: the anti-codon, which is responsible for specific mRNA codon recognition, and the 3' end, to which the tRNAs corresponding amino acid is attached (by aminoacyl-tRNA synthetases). tRNAs cope with the degeneracy of the genetic code in two manners: having more than one tRNA (with a specific anti-codon) for a particular amino acid; and 'wobble' base-pairing, i.e. permitting non-standard base-pairing at the 3rd anti-codon position. The record is from RNAcentral. Lineage: Eukaryota; Metazoa; Chordata; Actinopteri; Syngnathiformes; Syngnathidae.